Gallus gallus (chicken) is the source of this 3396-nucleotide long non-coding RNA. The record is from Ensembl. Lineage: Eukaryota; Metazoa; Chordata; Aves; Galliformes; Phasianidae.
AUUUGCCUGUGAAUCCAUUUUUUCACCACCCAUUGUUUCCCCAAUGAAGUCUUCUCCUUCUCACUGAAAGGCUUCUGCGAUCUGAGCUUCCUGGUAGGUACAAAUCCUUCUGGGCAGAUAUUUGUAAUAAUGUCAUGAAGUGUAUAGUGUGCUUAGGGAAUGUGUUAGAUUUGUGCUCCAAAGGAUCUGAGGAAUGGCAGCUGCUUAUCCAGACAUCUCUCCCACCCCAUCAAGACAUCCGGGCUAUAUUUUAGUUAAGGAAGAAAAGGAGGCAGAAAAAAUGAAGUUCCAGAUAAAAGCCAAAACAAAACAAAGGAACAUUUCAGAGAACAUGUACCAUCUACAGACCAGAUUCACACUUCUCUGAUCACCACUCACUCCUCUUGACAAAUAAAAGGUUUUGGCACGUCAACAAAACCAUCAAAAGGAAGCAACUCAGGAUAUGGUAGACCUUCUGGGCUGCAAGUGCACAUUGCUUGCUCAUGUUGAGGUUUUCAUCAACGAACACCCCCAAAUCCUUCUCCUUAGGGCUGCUCUCAAGCCAUUCUCUGCCCAGCCUGUAUUUUUCUUGGCUGUGAAAUUUUGUGAGCAAAGUUGUCUCAAAGCUUCUCAGCAGGUAAAUGACAACUCAAUCUAGUCACCCCAGCAAUAAUAAGAAAAGAAGAGCUCUUCACCACACAGCCUCAUCAUCCUGGCUGCUGGAGCAGCCCAAAGCUCAUGCUGUGGCUGCCGAGCUGUUAUGCAGCACACUCAGCUCCAUUGUGUAUCCUCCUGCCAAGAGUCAGGAGUGUAAAAAGGGUACGUUAAUGCAGAUUUGAAGGCUUGGUUGGCCCUGUUCCUUCUUUCUCCUUGGAAAACCCCCAUUGCAUUCAAUCUUUGCAAUUUAGAACAAAGUUAAAUAAAGCUGAUCUUUUCAUACUAUAAAAUAUUAAGAACAGCUGCACACAUUCUGAAAAUGAAUCAAUUCUUUUUGCUUUAAUUUAGUAUUGCCUUACUGAAAAUGCCUCUGUCUAUAUUCAUUUACUUGAGAUAGACUUCAGGAGACAUAAAGUGGUGCUACUGAAGAUGUUUGUGAUAACUGUAAGCUAGCUAUAUAUUAGUUUUGCAGCACUGCUCUUUUGCGCAAUAACUUACAAGCUCAGGCUUAAUAAUACAGUCUCCAAAAUAAGCUCUUACAUGUGCUAGGAAUGCCUUAACAGUAACUGUGGCUCUCUUGAUGUGCAGCAGUGAUAUAAUAGUAAUCAUUUUUUAGAUAUUUCUUAUUGUCAAAAUGACUUUAAUCUCGAUUUAUUAGAUAGUUACUGGUUCCUAGAAAGACAAAAUGAUAUCAACAAACCAUUUGUCUUCCAUGCUGGCCUUUAUGGCUGCAGUAGAGAUGUCAGUGAAGCACACAGUUGUUUUUCCAUCCAGAUAUUACACUGAUGUGACAUUGUCUUCUGGUUGAGCUGUUGAGAUAGUUUGCUUCCCAGUACACCUUCAGUCUGGCUGUUGUCUUGCACAAACACUGGACAUUGAACCCAAGGUCUUGCUCAGACAGUUGGUGACUGUGGUAUCAGUCAUACCUGAGGUCUUGCUGAGGCAGAUAGCAACCACAAUACUGGCUGAAACUGGGUCCUUGGAGGAACUGACGGACAGCUGCCUUGCUCAACAGUUGAGGAUCAGUUGAGCAUAUGCUAGAAAAUAUGAUUAUAUGUCAAUCAUCUUGCCCUGUAAAUAUGAAACAGCUCAGAGUGCAUUGAGCUCCUUCCUGAAUGACAGUGGGCUGCAUGACAGGAUUGUCCCUUGAGUAAGGAUGCCUCUGAAGGUUAUGUCUGCUGCAGAGAUCCCUUACACCUUGAUGUCAAGAGAUUCCUUGCUGCCACUAAUCCUUGUCAUGUGACAGAAAAGGAGAGAAGAGAAAGCAAGCAAUUAUUCCUCUGAAAGCUUGCUCUUGACUGACCUGUUGAUGCUGCUUGCCUACACUCUGCAACAAGAUAGAGAGCUGAACUAGUCAUCAUGGAAAGCUCCAGUCUAAAGACAUAUAUAGGUCUUUUUCAAAAAUGUUAUAGCCAACAGUACUACAAUAACUAUUUUAUGUUAAAGUCUAUGUCUGAAAAUUUCUGCCCGUUUCCAGUACUAUUAAGUAGGAGUUAAUCUCUCUCCUCAGAUUUGAAAUCCAUGUGCGAAGAGACUCUUAUGAACUCCUCUAACUGAAGAGACAUUUUUUUUAUUAAUCAUAGAGUGACAUGGGUUGAAAAGGACCACAAUGGUCAUCUAGUUUCAAGAUAAAAACUGUUCGUAGAUAACGAGACCCCCCGUUUCCUUUUCAACCAUCUGGCUCGUCUCUGUUGCCGGUGCUGUAUCAUUCCAGCUGGAGUGGCGGCCCCUGCCUGCCUGCCUGCCUGCCUGCCUCAGCUGGCUGGCUGGAGUUGCAGUCCCUCCCUGUCUGCCUUGGCAGACUGGCUGGAGUCAAGGCCCCUGCCUGCCUGCCUGCCUCAGCUGGCUGACUGGAGUCCUAACCCUUGCCUGCCUGCCUCUGUUAGCUGGCUGUCUUGUAUCACAGUUAGUGUUCUGCUGUCAGGAUCCCUGUAUUUACAGCAGUUUUUUGGGAUCUGGCUUGUGAUAGCAUAAGGCCAUGGCACUGUGACCCUAGAAAUGGCCCAGGACAACAAAAACAUGGCUGUGUUGGGUGUGGGGAGGCUAUGGCCUGAGAUUUGCCCUACUUGUCACCAGUGGGAGUCUGCAGGGCUCCAUUUUAAGGCCAUUUCUUUUCAUGUUUAGACUGUCAAUUCCAAUAAAGAUCUGGAGGUUCUAUUAAGUUAAUUUUUGGAUGAUGCUAAGCUGGGCAGAGUGUUGACUCUAUUGAGGGCAGAGAGGCCUUGCACCAAAAUCUGGACAAAUUUGAGGAUGAUCCCCAUCUGCAUGAAGAAGAGCAGGUGCUGGGUUCUGCACCUGGGAUGGGGAGCCCCUGGCUGUAUGUACAGACUGGGGGCGUGGGUCUGGAGAGCAGCCCCACAAAGAGAUCUGGGUGUUCAGCUUGGUGACAACUUGAAUCUGAGCUGGCAGUGCAACCUGGCAGCCAGAAGGGCCAACCGUACCCUGGGUACAUCAAGUCUAGCACUGCUGGUGAAGGAAGUGGUUGUCCCACUCUGCUCUGUGCAGUGCAGCCGCACCACCAGCACUGGGUGCAGGUUUGGGUGCUGCUACAUAAGAAGGACAUAAAGCUAUUAGGAAGUCCACAGGAGGGCUGCAGAGAUGGGGAAGGCUCUGAGGGCGCAGUGUGUGAGGAGCGGCUGCAGCCCCCGGGUUUGCUCAGCCCAGAGCAGAGGAGCUGAGGGGAGGCCUCAUGGUGGCUGCAGCUCCUCACAGGGUGCGGAGGGGCAGCGCUGAGCUCUGCUCUCUGGGGACAGCAACAGG